Molecule: ribosomal RNA, 442 nt
Filed under: uncultured bacterium
Lineage: Bacteria
Description: partial 16S ribosomal RNA
Rfam family: Bacterial small subunit ribosomal RNA
Source: RNAcentral
CCUACGGGUGGCAGCAGUGGGGAAUAUUGGGCAAUGGGCGAAAGCCUGACCCAGCAACGCCGCGUGAAGGAAGAAGGCUUUCGGGUUGUAAACUUCUUUUGAUAGGGAAGAGCAGAAGACGGUACCUGUCGUAUAAGCCACGGCUAACUACGUGCCAGCAGCCGCGGUAAUACGUAGGUGGCAAGCGUUGUCCGGAUUUACUGGGUGUAAAGGGCGUGUAGCCGGGCUGACAAGUCAGAUGGGAAAGCCGGGGGCUCAACCCCCGAACUGCAUUUGAAACUGUUGGUCUUGAGUAUCGGAGAGGCAGGCGGAAUUCGUGGUGUAGCGGUGAAAUGCUUAGAUAUUAGGAAGAACACCAGUGGCGAAGGCAGCCUACUGGACGACAACUGACGGUGAGGCGCGAAAGCGUGGGGAGCAAACAGGAUUAGAUACCCUUGUAGUC